Molecule: ribosomal RNA, 497 nt
Filed under: uncultured bacterium
Lineage: Bacteria
Description: partial 16S ribosomal RNA
Rfam family: Bacterial small subunit ribosomal RNA
Source: RNAcentral
GAUGAACGCUGGCGGCGUGCCUAAUACAUGCAAGUCGAGCGAACAGACGAGGAGCUUGCUCCUCUGACGUUAGCGGCGGACGGGUGAGUAACACGUGGAUAACCUACCUAUAAGACUGGGAUAACUUCGGGACACCGGAGCUAAUACCGGAUAAUAUAUUGAACCGCAUGGUUCAAUAGUGAAAGACGGUUUUGCUGUCACUUAUAGAUGGAUCCGCGCCGCAUUAGCUAGUUGGUAAGGUAACGGCUUACCAAGGCAACGAUGCGUAGCCGACCUGAGAGGGUGAUCGGCCACACUGGAACUGAGACACGGUCCAGACUCCUACGGGAGGCAGCAGUAGGGAAUCUUCCGCAAUGGGCGAAAGCCUGACGGAGCAACGCCGCGUGAGUGAUGAAGGUCUUCGGAUCGUAAAACUCUGUUAUUAGGGAAGAACAAAUGUGUAAGUAACUAUGCACGUCUUGACGGUACCUAAUCAGAAAGCCACGGCUAACUACGUG